ACCCAUAAAUUUGCCUGCUCCGUACCCAUUAUCCCGAUAACCCAGUUACCCAUUUCAGUUUAUCUUUGGGAUUUGAUCGUGCAUUAAUAAGCAUAUAUUCUGUUACCUAAUCUUCCGCCUCUUAAUUCAAAUUUUGAAUUCCAGAAUCUGUCAAAACCAUCUUCAAGCGUAUGGAUCAUCUCUGCGAUCUUCUACCGUCGACAUAGACAUCUUCUUCUUCAGCCAGGCAUGGAAACUGACAACAAUGAUGCAGCGGCACCGGGUUCAGGUCGCAAGCGACGUGGACGUGUGUCAAAGUUGCAGCAAAUUAAAGGGGCGAUCAUGAUUCACGUGACAUCAUGUUGGAGACAUUUUUGAAGAAAUUAUUUUAUAAGCGAAAAGCUUUAAACAUGUAGUAAUCAUAAUUAUCUUUUGUUAAAAGUUUUCGCUUGAAUAAGCUCCGGGAAAGAUAAUUUUUUGGUAACACGAGUUGGGAAAACCAAAGCUUCCACCUCUGGAUCCCAUAGGAGGUCUUGACGGUGUGGAAAUGGUUGGUUUGACUUCGCCAACUCCUGUGCAGGUAAAAAUUUCUAUUGGAAAUGUUAUAUCUAUCAAAUUUGUUGUUUUCAUGCUAAGAUAUGUAUAAAAAUAUAUAUGUGUGAACUGAGUUUUAUUGUUGGUAUCACAUUAUAUAUCGGAGCUGAGGCUAGGCCUGACAGUUAGUUUAAGAUACGCAGGUUGUCCUACAUAUGCAUUAUGUAGUCCUAACAUCCUGCAUUUUCACUUUUACUCAUUUUUACAUGCAAUUUCUCUUUCCUUUGGACACUUGAUUACGAAGCCACAACGUCCUACACCUCACUCAAACGCUUCAGGUUUAGAAAAUUUGCUAUCUACACUCAAUUUGUGAUCAGAGUACCCUGUCCAUAUGAGGCAGUGAGUUGUGUCGAAAGUCUCUAUCUAACAUGUUGUUCCGAUUUUCUUUUUUCUCCAGGUUUGAACCGUAUAUGCCGUGGUCCGGGGAUUAAUAAUUUGCUACAUAUGGAGGACUUGAAAUUGAAUAAUGUAACAAUUUUGGUGUCCGUAAAGUUUAGUCUUCUGAAUGUUUUAUAUUUUGUAUUUAUGCAUCCUUCUAUUUUAGGUUAGGCUUGAAAAAUUUUGUGAUGCAGCUUAUGUGACUUAUCCGUAUACUAAUGGUGGAACUCACGUGUCUCCAAAAACUUCCGGUUAGUAGUCCAUCAUUCUUUUAUCUUAUAUGAUCCGAUAUUAAUUUCAAUCUUCAUGUUCACUUAAGUGUGUAGGACUCCUAGUAGCACUGUAAUGUUUCAGGGAUCAAUGAUGAGGAGAAGCAAUUCUCAUUCGCAAAGCACGAAGAAUUAUGCACCUCACGACAUGUUUGAAUCUCCAGGUUCUCCUUUCACCUCUUCCUGUGUUUUGACACGACUACACGAAUCAGUUACUAAAAGCAUCAAUAUUCCAUUGUGUCUAUUCUGUUGAAUUGUUAAUGCAUUGGCAUAUAACUGUACCAAGACAUGUUGUACUUACUUAUUCUGAAUAUAAGCAUCAUCUUUCCUAUGCAUAUUAUUAACUAGAAAUAUCAGAUUGCAAAGUCACGCAGGCCAUUCCGUCCAAGUAGUGGCACGUCCAGCUCUGGUGUAAAAGAUUUAUCUCACGAUUUUAAUGAGGCAUAAGAUCCUACAAAGAAUGACAUUCUGUUCGAUGAUGGUAUUUUGUUUCCUUUUUUUAAAUUAAAUUUAUAUAUCACAGUGAUCAAUGACAUGCCAUCACUGCGUUUUAACUGGUUAGCCUGAGUGUGAUGAUGCGAAUUCUGAAACCUGGCCAGACUAUGCCAAUCUUGGUCCUCCAAAUGCUAUGUGCAGACACUGUGGUGUGAUAAUGUGGCACGACUGUCUAUUUUUUAACCUCUUCAUAGUUAUUCAAAUAGCAUGGCUAUUAA
Long non-coding RNA from Daucus carota subsp. sativus, 1933 nucleotides. RefSeq lists it as uncharacterized. The transcript is spliced from 3 exons. NCBI's taxonomy places the organism in Eukaryota, Viridiplantae, Streptophyta, Magnoliopsida, Apiales, Apiaceae. The record is from RefSeq and is a predicted model, not a curated record.